This 77-nucleotide transfer RNA is filed under the name Acinetobacter sp. F_3_1. RNAcentral describes it as "tRNA-Met". It matches the Rfam family "tRNA". From Rfam's summary of the family: Transfer RNA (tRNA) molecules are approximately 80 nucleotides in length. Their secondary structure includes four short double-helical elements and three loops (D, anti-codon, and T loops). Lineage: Bacteria; Pseudomonadati; Pseudomonadota; Gammaproteobacteria; Moraxellales; Moraxellaceae. The record is from RNAcentral.
UGCGGGAUGGAGCAGUCUGGUAGCUCGUCGGGCUCAUACCCCGAAGGUCGUGGGUUCAAAUCCAGCUCCCGCUACCA